Molecule: long non-coding RNA, 373 nt
Organism: Oncorhynchus kisutch (coho salmon)
Lineage: Eukaryota; Metazoa; Chordata; Actinopteri; Salmoniformes; Salmonidae
Exons: 3
Source: RefSeq, a predicted model, not a curated record
AGAGCAAAAACCAAGCCAUGAGGUCUAAGGAAUUGUCCCUAGACCUCCGAGACAUGGAACAGGUCUCUGGACUUUUCUGUCCAUGCAUUCAGGCCGUUAAGAUGGCAGAGAAAUACGGAGUGUUUCCUACUCUCAUGUUCCAUGGACACAUUUUAUGUUGCGAACCAGCAUUCGUGGAGAGGUAUAACAUAGAGGGAACCAUUUGCGAUGACUGGUGUAUGACUGCUUACUGCGAACCAUGUGUUCAAUGCCAAAUCGUUCAUGAAGUCAAUAAGGAGAUUCCUAACUGACAGAGCCAGAAAGUGAUUGCUGAUCCCCAAAGUGUUGUCUUCCGCACCUUGUUAUGAAAAUGUUCAUUAAAUUGUUUCACUGA